This 432-nucleotide ribosomal RNA is filed under the name uncultured bacterium. RNAcentral's name for it is "partial 16S ribosomal RNA". It matches the Rfam family "Bacterial small subunit ribosomal RNA", at positions 36 to 507 of the family's 1533-position model. The record is from RNAcentral.
CCCUCCCUCUUUCUUCAUGCCUAACACAUGCAAGUCGAACGAGACCUUCGGGUCUAGUGGCGCACGGGUGCGUAACGCGUGGGAACCUGCCCUUAGGUUCGGAAUAACUCCCCGAAAGGGGUGCUAAUACCGGAUAAUGUCUUCGGACCAAAGAUUUAUCGCCUUUGGAUGGGCCCGCGUUGGAUUAGCUAGUUGGUAGGGUAAAAGCCUACCAAGGCGACGAUCCAUAGCUGGUCUGAGAGGAUGAUCAGCCACACUGGGACUGAGACACGGCCCAGACUCCUACGGGAGGCAGCAGUGGGAAUAUUGGACAAUGGGCGAAAGCCUGAUCCAGCAAUGCCGCGUGAGUGAUGAAGGCCUUAGGGUUGUAAAGCUCUUUUACCCGGGAUGAUAAUGACAGUACCGGGAGAAUAAGCUCCGGCUAACUCCGUG